This is a long non-coding RNA of Lacerta agilis (Sand lizard), 414 nucleotides long. RefSeq lists it as uncharacterized. The transcript is spliced from 3 exons. The record is from RefSeq and is a predicted model, not a curated record. NCBI's taxonomy places the organism in Eukaryota, Metazoa, Chordata, Lepidosauria, Squamata, Lacertidae.
GCAGAGGCAGCUCUGACAAGAGCCUCGUGAAGCCUGUUCUUUCAACCUACUUCUGCUGCGUCAUUUGUCAAUUUGUCAUGCCCAGAUGUCAAUGAGUCACAGCUAGUAGCUUCAACUGACCUAUUUUUGCCUUUGUCAUGCCGCAGGAUCCAUAUGAACAACGCGAAAGGGUUCAAUGCAGUUCUGUGAUCGUCAUUGCUAAGGAUAAAUGUUCCAUGUGGUACUAAGGAAGACUGCCACCUGAAGUUUGAAAGAAGGAUCACAUCUGACCAGAGGCAUACCUAAGGACAUGCAGAUUAGCAAGAUGAGACCUUUUGGGUCUCGUGCAGCUAUGAACAUAUCAGCAAAAACAAGUGAGUGAUGGAGAAGAAGGAUGUGGCCCCUGCCUGACAGCCAGUGUGGUGCAAAGCUCAG